GAGCACCAGUGUGCUGAGCAAACUUCAAAACAGCCCUCUGACCAUAGGGUCUAGCAGAUUGAACAAUGAUAUCUUGAGGAUUCUCUAUACCCACAAUAACUCUUGCAGCCAGCUGAAGUUUCUCCCAUGUUUUACCAAGGUUAAUGAUGUAGAUUCCAUCGUUUCGGCGCUUAAAAACGUAUCGUUCCAUUUGGAAAUCGCAGUUUUUAGUGCCAAGAUGAACCUCGGCGGCCAGCAUCAUCUGAAUGUCGGCCUCCUUCUGAGAGAGUUGACGCGGCGGUGCAGCUCCA
This 290-nucleotide unclassified non-coding RNA is filed under the name Hevea brasiliensis (rubber tree). The record is from RNAcentral. Lineage: Eukaryota; Viridiplantae; Streptophyta; Magnoliopsida; Malpighiales; Euphorbiaceae.